GCCAGUGGUGAACUCCACAUACGCAUCCUUUGCUGAGGAUACGGUUAACGGAGCGAAAGCGACGUUCAACCGCAAAAGAAGCAGAGGGGGCUUAGUGGUGGGGUGACUGCGUACCUUUUGUAUAAUGGGUCAGCGACUUAUAUUCUGUAGCAAGGUUAACCGAAUAGGGGAGCCGGAGGGAAACCGAGUCUUAACCGGGCGUUAAGUUGCAGGGUAUAGACCCGAAACCCGGUGAUCUAGCCAUGGGCAGGUUGAAGGUUGGGUAACACUAACUGGAGGACCGAACCGACUAAUGUUGAAAAAUUAGCGGAUGACCUGUGGCUGGGGGUGAAAGGCCAAUCAAACCGGGAGAUAGCUGGUUCUCCCCGAAAGCUAUUUAGGUAGCGCCUCGUGAAUUCAUCUCCGGGGGUAGAGCACUGUUUCGGCUAGGGGGCCAUCCCGGCUUACCAACCCGAUGCAAACUGCGAAUACCGGAGAAUGUUAUCACGGGAGACACACGGCGGGUGCUAACGUCCGUCGUGAAGAGGGAAACAACCCAGACCGCCAGCUAAGGUCCCAAAGUCAUGGUUAAGUGGGAAACGAUGUGGGAAGGCCCAGACAGCCAGGAUGUUGGCUUAGAAGCAGCCAUCAUUUAAAGAAAGCGUAAUAGCUCACUGGUCGAGUCGGCCUGCGCGGAAGAUGUAACGGGGCUAAACCAUGCACCGAAGCUGCGGCAGCGACGCUUAUGCGU
Molecule: ribosomal RNA, 730 nt
Filed under: Salmonella enterica subsp. enterica serovar Dublin
Lineage: Bacteria; Pseudomonadati; Pseudomonadota; Gammaproteobacteria; Enterobacterales; Enterobacteriaceae
Description: partial 23S ribosomal RNA
Rfam family: Bacterial large subunit ribosomal RNA
Source: RNAcentral